This 790-nucleotide ribosomal RNA is filed under the name uncultured Gemmatimonadota bacterium. RNAcentral's name for it is "bacterial SSU rRNA". It matches the Rfam family "Bacterial small subunit ribosomal RNA", at positions 1 to 806 of the family's 1533-position model. Lineage: Bacteria; Pseudomonadati; Gemmatimonadota. The record is from RNAcentral.
AGGAGUUGGAUCCUGGCUCAGGACGAACGCUGGCGGCGUGCUUAACACAUGCAAGUCAAGGGGGCCCAGCAAUGGGCAACCGGCGAACGGGUGCGUAACACGUGAGCAAUCUGCCUAGAUGUGGGGGAUAGCCGGCCCAACGGCCGGGUAAUACCGCAUACGCUCUCCUGGUGGCAUCACCGGGUGAGGAAACUUUCGAGGCAUCUAGAGGAGCUCGCGGCCUAUCAGCUAGUUGGUGAGGUAAUGGCUCACCAAGGCUUUGACGGGUAGCUGGUCUGAGAGGAUGGCCAGCCACAUUGGGACUGAGAUACGGCCCAGACUCCUACGGGAGGCAGCAGUGGGGAAUAUUGCGCAAUGGCCGAAAGGCUGACGCAGCGACGCCGCGUGGGGGAUGAAGCAUUUCGGUGUGUAAACCCCUGUUGCUCGGGACGAACAACUGGUUUUGACCAGUCUGACGGUACCGGGUGAGGAAGCACCGGCUAACUCCGUGCCAGCAGCCGCGGUAAUACGGAGGGUGCGAGCGUUGUCCGGAAUCACUGGGCGUAAAGGGCGCGUAGGCGGUCUGCUAAGCGUGCGGUGAAAGCCUGGGGCUCAACCCCAGGUCUGCCGUGCGAACUGGUGGACUAGAGCACUGUAGAGGCAGGUGGAAUUCCGGGUGUAGCGGUGGAAUGCGUAGAGAUCCGGAAGAACACCGGUGGCGAAGGCGGCCUGCUGGGCAGUUGCUGACGCUGAGGCGCGACAGCGUGGGGAGCAAACAGGAUUAGAUACCCUGGUAGUCCACGCCCGUAAA